RNAcentral lists this non-coding RNA (249 nucleotides) under Polytomella parva. Lineage: Eukaryota; Viridiplantae; Chlorophyta; Chlorophyceae; Chlamydomonadales; Chlamydomonadaceae. The record is from RNAcentral.
GGAAAUAAGUCAAAAAAUGCCUCAUGUCUAUUUUCGGGUUCAACUAACUUUAUUUUUGGAAUCUUUUUAUUUUUUGGCUUGUUUUCCAAUACACUGCUAUUUUAAACUUUAAGGAAGGAAAAUUGACAUAGGCAAUAGAGAGAAAAGUCAAAAAAGAGGAUGUCAUUUUCUUCAGGUCAUUUUUUCAUUAUUUAAAUCGUUGAAGAUUUAAAACGUCGGAUCAGACUUGAUUUUCAGAAUUCAUUGUAA